Sapajus apella (tufted capuchin) is the source of this 1714-nucleotide long non-coding RNA. RefSeq lists it as uncharacterized. The transcript has 2 exons. The record is from RefSeq and is a predicted model, not a curated record. Lineage: Eukaryota; Metazoa; Chordata; Mammalia; Primates; Cebidae.
GGCAUGAACCACUGGGCCCUGCACAUUUUUUCAUUUAAUCCUCACCACAGACCUAGCCACAAGAAAGGCUGCAGGACCUGGGCUAUUGCUGAUGGGGCUGCCAGAGGUCGGGUCUUUGAGUCCUUGCAAAACAAUGCCUGGGGGUUCUGCUAGGUAUGAAAGACAGCCUGAGGAGGGUGAGCUGGUAACCUGGCCACAUGGACUAGGCCAGUUGGGAAGAAAGCAGAGUGGGAAAGGCUCUGGGCAGGGGAAGGAGGGAAGGAAGGAGGGAGAUGCUUUUCAUGGGCAGAGGAUAAGAAGCCCCCAAGAGACUUGGGCUAGUCACCCCAGUCAUUUUGAGGCUGGCAGGGACUGGCAGGUCACAAAUAAGCCUCUGUUCCUGCCAUAGGCCAGAGAGUUGUGCUCUGUGUUCUGUAUCUGCAACAGAGCUGAGCUUUUCAGUUCCAGGAAGCCAGAGAAAUGCAAUGCCUGUUAGUCUCUGUAAAUGCUGCCUUUCUGGAAGCACUGUCCUAUCAGUGCCAGGAGCUUCUGGCUGAUGCUAUACCGGAUGUUGGGACAAUGAGUGCUCCUGAGCUAAUCCCUGGGACAGAGAGGACUCUGGAGACACGUGCAAUUGUUGGGACAUCCUGCCCUUGAAGAAUGAGUCAGCUGAGAGGGGGCCCAGUACCCUUGUGGGAAGCUGCAGCAAUGCCCUCCUAGUGGGUGGGGUGAAUCUUAGCUAGGCCCUGGCCUGGGGCUUCAGGCAGGAGGACAUGGGCUGGGGAACAUUGACCUUGAGCCUUCAAGCAGGGUGAAGCUGGCCAGGGUGGGUUAGUGAAUUUGUUCAUCUGUAGGUAGGUAAGAGUCUUGAAGGUUGGAAGCCUCAGAGAAGGCUCAAGUUCAGGGCAGGACAGAGGGGUUCAUUUGUUUUUAGCUCCUGAUAUUCAAGGAAAUCUCUCAAGGCACUAGCUGAACAGAGACCACACAUGACAAGGAUUACUGACUUUGCAAAAAUAGUUUGGUAAAGUCACCAAACAAAUAGGCAGCUACAGCCUUCAACAAUUAAAAACAGUAAACUCAGGAAGGAGGAGAAACUGAUUUCCAGGGUUGCCGUAUUGUAAUAUUCAAAUGUCUAGUUUUCUAAUAACAAGUAGAACCUCACAGAUUAUACAAGAAAUAAGAAAUUAUAGUCCAUUCAAGAGGAAAACAGUUAAUUGACAGUACAUGUCUCUAAGGAAGCCUAGACAUUUAAAUAUGCUCCUAGUGAACAUUUCCUCCUCUUCCCUCUCGCCUCCAAGCCCACCAUGGUCCGCCUGGUCAACCACCUUUUCUCUGGCCUCGGCCAUCACAAAAGGGGUGAGUGAAUAUCAGCUCAAGCAAUUCUGCAGCUGAACAGAAUGCUACCUCCUCAUUUUUUGACUCCUUCCUCUGACAGAGACUCCCUGAGGUCCACAGCCUGGCUCUGCCUCUUGAGGAGCCAGAGCCAUGGAGAUAAAUGGGAGGGGUCUUUGGCUAAGAGGAGCUGAAGAUUUCUCACAUGUGCCCCUCAGGGUCUGGGGCUGUGAGGACCACAUUUGGGUCCAAUCCAGGGUGUAAGGACUGCUAACCUGUAUUCUCCUUCACUGAUGGGCUGCCAGAAACCUCAUCCACAAGGGAGUUCACAUCUGAGCCAAUUUGAAACAAUCUUAUGAGAUUCUUUGAGCCCAAAGCUCAAAUACAACCUCUCUCAUCUGCU